Molecule: ribosomal RNA, 494 nt
Filed under: uncultured bacterium
Lineage: Bacteria
Description: partial 16S ribosomal RNA
Rfam family: Bacterial small subunit ribosomal RNA
Source: RNAcentral
GACGAACGCUGGCGGCGUGCUUAACACAUGCAAGUCGAACGGUGAAGCGCCUUCCUUUUUGGUGGGUGUGGAUGAGUGGCGAACGGGUGAGUAACACGUGAGUAACCUGCCCCCUUCUUCUGGAUAACCGCAUGAAAGUGUGGCUAAUACGGGAUAUUCUGGGCCUGUCGCAUGAUUGGUCUGGGAAAGAUAUUGUUUCGGUGGGGGAUGGGCUCGCGGCCUAUCAGCUUGUUGGUGGGGUGAUGGCCUACCAAGGCGGUGACGGGUAGCCGGCCUGGGAGGGUGGACGGUCACACUGGGACUGAGGCACGGCCCAGACUCCUACGGGAGGCAGCAGUGGGGAAUAUUGCACAAUGGGCGCAAGCCUGAUGCAGCGACGCCGCGUGAGGGAUGGAGGCCUUCGGGUUGUGAACCUCUUUCGCCAGUGAAGCAGGCCUGCCUCGUUUGUGGGUGGGUUGACGGUAGCUGGAUAAGAAGCGCCGGCUAACUACGUG